GCUCUCCUGCGCUUUGACGCGCGGUCCUCGCGCCUCAGCUGAUGACUGCGCGCUGGAAUGCGGCGCCGAGGGACGGUCGCAGCUCGACGCGGGCUCGACGGCCCACUCUGACGAGCUGUGGGUCCGGAUGCCAGUGAGCGCCCCUCACCAGCACCGGGCUUUGCGGCGUUGGGACUGCGGCAGCCUGACCGCCCUCGGUAAGGCUUGUGUCCGCCUGGAGGAGGCGGCCCGGGAAGGGGCUCCGCGAGGGCUACUGCGGCUCCCAGUCCUGCUGAAGCGUCCUGCCGCCCGCACCUGCCCGGGGAGUUCACUUCAUCGUGUAGGGGAUACAAGGAGGAACUCAUUCUGUCCUUACCAUUGUGAAACUUACCAGUAGAGAAUAAAUACAGUACAAGAUGCAUCAUUCCUGGCUAAUUUCACAUCUCACACCUGAGAAAAAGAAAAAAAGUUUCCUUUUAAAUGUCAUGUUCAUGGAUUGGAAGACAACACUAUCAAGAUGACAGUACUCCCUGGAUUGAUCUACAGAUUCAACACAGUACCUACCAGAAUCCCAGAUGACUUCGUUAUAAAAAUUGACAAGUUGAUUCUAAAAUACACAUGGACGGGAGUGGGUGUUGGGUAACUCAGUGGUAGAGUGCCUGCUUAGCAUGCACAAGGUCCUGGGUUCAAUCCCCAGUAUCUCCAUGAAAAACUUAGUAAAUAAACCAAAUUACCUCUGCCCCCCCCAAAAAAAAAUAAAAAUAAAAAAAUAAUAGAAUGCACAUGGAAUUGCAAGGGACCUUGAAUAGCCAGAAUAAUGCUAAAAAGAAUUAAGUAGGAGGACUCAUAUUUCCCAAUUUCAAAACUUACUACAAAGCAACAGUAAUUAAGACAGUGUGUUACAGGCACAAAGAGAGACAUAUACAUCAAUGAAAUAGAAUUAAGAGUCUAGGAAUAAACCCCCAAAUCUAUGCCCAACUGAUUUUUGACAAGAGUACCAAGACCAUUCAAUGGGGAAGAAUAAUCUCUUCAACAAAUGGCACUGGGACAACUGAGUAUCUACACGCAAAAGAACGAAGUUGAACCCUUACCUUACACCGUCUACAAAAAUUAACUCAGUGGAGCUAAAACUGUAAAACUCAUUUAUAAGAAUAUAUAGGGGGAAAUCAUAAUGCCAUUUACUUGGCAAUGAUUUAUUAGAUAUGACACUGGAGGGACAGACAAUAAAAAAAUAAAUUGGACUUCACCAAAAUUAAAAACUUGUGCAUCAAAGGACACUAUCAGGAUUGUGAAAAUGUAACAUGUGAAAUAGAAAAAUAUUUAUAAACCAUAUAUCUGAUAAAAGGACUUCCAUCUAGAAUAUAUAAAGAACUCUUACAAUGUAAUAACAAAAAGACAAACCAAAUUCUAAAAUGGGCAAAGGAUCUGAAUAGAUGUUUCUUCAAAGAUACACAGAUAGCCAAUAAGUACAUGAAAAGAUGCUCAGCAUCAUUAGUCAUCAGAGAAAUGCAGAUCAAAACCACAGUGAGAUACCACUUCACACCCACUAGAAUGGUUCAAAUCAGAAAGUCAGAUAACAACAGGUGUCGGCAAAGAUUUUAAGAUACGGGACUCUCAUAACGCUAUUGGUAAUAAUGUAGAAUGUGGUACAACCACUUCAGAAAACAGUCUGGCAGUUCCUCAGAUGAUUAAACGUAAAGUUACCAUAUGACCCAGCAAUUCUGCUCUUAGGUACAUUUCAAGAGAAAUGAAAACAUGUCCACAUAGAAACUUCCACACGAAUAUUUAUAGCAGCUUUAUUCCUAAUAGCCAAAAGGCAGAAAGAACCCAAGUAUUCAUAAGCAGAUGAAUGGAUAAGCAAAAUGUGGUAUAUCUGUACAAUGGAAUAUUUUUCAGUCAUUAAAAAAAGAAUUAAGUAUUAAUGAACUUUGAAAACAUAAUGCUAAGGGAAAGAAGCCAAUCACAAAAGAUUACAUACCAUAUGAUUCCAUUUAUAUUAAAGUAUAGUAUAGGGAAAUGUAUAGAAAUAGAAAGUAGAUUAGUGGUUGCUUAGAGCAGUAUUGGGGAGGCCAUCUGGGUGAUAGCUGAAAGGUAGAGGGUUUCUUUUUAAGGUGAAUAUGUUCUAAAACUAAUGAUGGUUAUCUAUGAAUAUACCAAAAGCAUUGAAUUGUAUACUUUAAAUAGGUGAAUUUGAUAUGUAUGGUAUGAUAUGUGAAUUAUCUCUCAGUAAAUGUUUUUUUUUUAAGUGCA
Camelus dromedarius (Arabian camel) is the source of this 2229-nucleotide long non-coding RNA. RefSeq lists it as uncharacterized. The transcript has 4 exons. NCBI's taxonomy places the organism in Eukaryota, Metazoa, Chordata, Mammalia, Artiodactyla, Camelidae. The record is from RefSeq and is a predicted model, not a curated record.